Molecule: ribosomal RNA, 253 nt
Filed under: uncultured bacterium
Lineage: Bacteria
Description: partial 16S ribosomal RNA
Rfam family: Bacterial small subunit ribosomal RNA
Source: RNAcentral
UACGUAGGGUGCAAGCGUUGUCCGGAAUUAUUGGGCGUAAAGAGCUCGUAGGCGGUUUGUCGCGUCUGCUGUGAAAACUCGGGGCUUAACUCCGGGCCUGCAGUGGGUACGGGCAGACUAGAGUGCGGUAGGGGAGACUGGAAUUCCUGGUGUAGCGGUGAAAUGCGCAGAUAUCAGGAGGAACACCGAUGGCGAAGGCGAGUCCCUGGACAACUCCUGACACUGAGGCACGAAAGCUAGGGGAGCAAACAGG